GCUUUCACUCGGAAAUUCCCAUUUCAAACUCUAAUUUCGACUAAGGAAAUAAGGAUCUCGUGGAUGAAUCUAGGUUCGAAUGUACGGAAGAAGACCACUGAUGGUAAGGCUGUGAUGCAAGUGGUUUGGUGUCCUGGGAUUCCAGAGUCUUCACCCGUCUGGGCAGUUUGGACUAAUUUCGGGAUUGGGCCUACUAGGGUGUUAAUUUAUUUGGGCUAGAAUUUAGAUUUAAUAUUUGGGUCGGAUAUUAUUUAGGUUAAUUGGGUCCUAAGCUAAUGGACUUUUAUUAUAUUGA
Long non-coding RNA from Gossypium arboreum, 295 nucleotides. RefSeq lists it as uncharacterized. The transcript has 2 exons. NCBI's taxonomy places the organism in Eukaryota, Viridiplantae, Streptophyta, Magnoliopsida, Malvales, Malvaceae. The record is from RefSeq and is a predicted model, not a curated record.